This 217-nucleotide non-coding RNA is filed under the name Bacillus sp. (in: firmicutes). RNAcentral describes it as "Bacillus sp. T-box sequence". It matches the Rfam family "T-box leader". Rfam says of the family: Uncharged tRNA acts as the effector for transcription antitermination of genes in the T-box leader family. T-boxes are found upstream of many aminoacyl-tRNA synthetase genes and some amino acid biosynthetic genes usually in Gram-positive bacteria. The record is from RNAcentral. Lineage: Bacteria; Bacillati; Bacillota; Bacilli; Caryophanales; Bacillaceae.
AUAAAAGCGUAGAGAGGAAAACAAGUAGUUGUUAUCUCCCUGUAAUCAGAGAGUCGAUGGAUGGUGUGAAUCGACACAAAGAUAACACGAAAUACACGCCUUGAGCUUUCUUUGCGAAUUGCCGCAAGGAACGGGUUGACCGUUAAUCGUAGAGCGGAAGAAUCAUAUUCUUCAAUAAGGGUGGUACCGCGUGUAAAAGUUUAACCACGUCCCUUUU